RNAcentral lists this ribosomal RNA (305 nucleotides) under uncultured bacterium. RNAcentral describes it as "bacterial SSU rRNA". It matches the Rfam family "Bacterial small subunit ribosomal RNA", at positions 335 to 632 of the family's 1533-position model. The record is from RNAcentral.
UGGCCUACGGGAGGCAGCAGUAGGGAAUCUUCCACAAUGGGCGAAAGCCUGAUGGAGCAACGCCGCGUGGGUGAAGAAGGUCUUCGGAUCGUAAAACCCUGUUGUUAGAGAAGAAAGUGCGUGAGAGUAACUGUUCACGUUUCGACGGUAUCUAACCAGAAAGCCACGGCUGACUACGUGCCAGCAGCCGCGGUAAUACGUAGGGGGCAAGCGUUAUCCGGAAUUACUGGGUGUAAAGGGAGAGUAGGCGGCAAGGUAAGCGAUAUGUGAAAGCCUUAAGCUUAACUUAAGGAUUGCAUAACGAA